Molecule: long non-coding RNA, 949 nt
Filed under: Capsella grandiflora
Lineage: Eukaryota; Viridiplantae; Streptophyta; Magnoliopsida; Brassicales; Brassicaceae
Description: long non-coding RNA (CGRA_LNC001551)
Source: RNAcentral
CUGCUCGUCUGGACCAUGAUUAUGCUGAGCCAUCACAAGAAAUGGCAAGAUCAAGCUAGAGAAGAGAUCUUAGAAGUCAUUGGGAAGACCAACAAACCUAACUUUGAUACACUCUCUCGACUCAAAAUAGUAAAUGCAUUAAUAAGCUAUAACCAUAGGAUUUUUAGGCCAAAAACUCAGACUAACGUUUUCUCGGAACUUUUGUUUCUUUGACAGAUGAGCAUGAUCAUUAACGAGGUGUUGAGGCUAUACCCACCAGGGAAACUACUUGGUCGAACAAUAGAGAAAGAAACAAAGCUUGGUGAGGACAUGACACUUCCAGGUGGUGCACAAGUAGUGAUUCCUGUUCUUAUGAUUCAUCGUGAUCCCGAGCUCUGGGGAGAAGAUGCUCAUGAGUUUAAGCCCGAAAGGUUCUCUGAAGGGAUCUCAAAGGCCACGAAGAACCAAGUCUCGUAUCUUCCGUUUGGAUGGGGACCAAGAUUCUGUCCUGGCCAGAACUUUGCUCUGAUGGAAGCUAAGAUGGCUCUUGUCUUGAUUAUGCAGAGAUUCUCCUUCGAACUGUCACCUUCGUACACUCACGCCCCUCACAUGGUUCUUACACUUCACCCUCAGUUUGGUGCUCCGUUGAUCUUCCACAUGCUCUGAGAUCGAUUCACUAUAUAGUACACAAGAUUUCUAAAAUUCUCUGUUUUUGUUUUACCCUUAAAUAAAGAUUCUAAGAUAUAGUAGCAUAUGUAAUCCUACAGAUGACAAUGAUUAUUUAUGAGGUCCUUAGGCUAUAUCCUCGUAAUCCAGAUAAACCGAGCUAUCCACAAAGAGAUAAAGCUAGGUGAUGUGACAUUACCAUUUACCAGGGGGUGUUCAAGUCGAUAUGCCUGUUCUCCUAAUCCGAGCUUUGGGGCGAUGAUGCAGCAGAGUUCAAGCCGGAGAGAUUCAAAGAAGGGAUCUC